Long non-coding RNA from Rhododendron vialii, 1004 nucleotides. RefSeq lists it as uncharacterized. The record is from RefSeq and is a predicted model, not a curated record. The transcript is spliced from 2 exons. NCBI's taxonomy places the organism in Eukaryota, Viridiplantae, Streptophyta, Magnoliopsida, Ericales, Ericaceae.
UACAUAAUUCUUUGUACAUAGGUAGGUAUACAUUACCUGAUCACCACAUGAGUGUGGGUGCUCUUUUUUGCAUAGCUAUUGGGUUUCACCUCUUCUAGCUUGGUAUUGAAGAUUCAUAAUACGAGUAGCUUGCGGGGAUCUUCAAUAUACCAUUAUUUGCCAUCUUUUUAACUUAUAUACAAUUGAAACUCUUGGACUCCUGGGGCAUAAAUUUUUACUUUCAAAGGAAAAUAAGAACAGAGAAGAGUGUUCUCUACUUGUUUUUCCUUCCGAAGGUUUUAAUAAUAGUGAAUUAGUUUACAUAUUUUUAGUUUGUUGAACCAUUUUCUAUGUUUGUUCACCACCCCCACCCUAGCCGAUAACACAUAUAUGCCCAACCUGAUAGUUUCUUCCAUCCGUGCACAACCCGUGCUUUUGGUUUUUAUGCAUAGAAAAUGGGUGAUAGACUGAUGAACUGGUGAACAUGUGUUAUUGCCUAUAUGCUUCAUUACUUUUCUUUUUUUAAUCUAUAGCUUUGAUCUGGUUGAUCAACUAGAUGUUGUGGUCUAACUUGUAACUUUAAGAUCUUCACUUAUUUAAAGGAUUGAGCUCAUGUUGAUCAACUAUUUGCUGUGGGGCUUCAACUCUUUGUGACGAUGCUUAUGGAGCUUUUAUUCAAGCCUUUGGAUGCUAUUUUGAAAGGCCUAACUUUGCCUCUAUGGUUACACUUUGGAGUUUUUUUGCUGCAACUGAGUUGCUAAUGUGAAGUACCUUCAAUUUCUACUUCAACUGGGAGCAACACUCUAGUGCUAAGUUUUAAAUCAUUCUGUUUCUUGCUAUUUGUAAAGAACUUGAUGCUUAUUUGUCUUGUUCUCUCUCUUUCUUUUUAGAUGCUUGGAUUUUUUAUUUCAUACUUUUUGUAGUACGAUUUUUCUUUAUUUUGUACUUUACGAAUUCGAAUAAAGUUUGUCAAGUAUUUGGUGAACACUUUUAUUUAUGGAAGUUAUGAAUGGAUUAUUAUUGAA